UGAGGAAUAUUGGUCAAUGGGCGAGAGCCUGAACCAGCCAAGUAGCGUGCAGGAUGACGGCCCUAUGGGUUGUAAACUGCUUUUAUAUGGGAAUAAAGUGAGGGACGUGUCCCUUAUUGCAUGUACCAUAUGAAUAAGGACCGGCUAAUUCCGUGCCAGCAGCCGCGGUAAUACGGAAGGUCCAGGCGUUAUCCGGAUUUAUUGGGUUUAAAGGGAGCGUAGGCUGUUUGUUAAGCGUGUUGUGAAAUGUAAGAGCUCAACUUUUAGAUUGCAGCGCGAACUGGCAGACUUGAGUGCGCACAACGUAGGCGGAAUUCAUGGUGUAGCGGUGAAAUGCUUAGAUGUCAUGACGAACUCCGAUUGCGAAGGCAGCUUACGGGAGCGCAACUGACGCUAAAGCUCGAAGGUGCGGGUAUCGAACAGG
This 424-nucleotide ribosomal RNA is filed under the name Verrucomicrobiota bacterium. Its description in RNAcentral is "Verrucomicrobia bacterium partial 16S ribosomal RNA". It matches the Rfam family "Bacterial small subunit ribosomal RNA", at positions 355 to 776 of the family's 1533-position model. The record is from RNAcentral. Lineage: Bacteria; Pseudomonadati; Verrucomicrobiota.